This 253-nucleotide ribosomal RNA is filed under the name uncultured bacterium. Its description in RNAcentral is "partial 16S ribosomal RNA". It matches the Rfam family "Bacterial small subunit ribosomal RNA", at positions 524 to 776 of the family's 1533-position model. The record is from RNAcentral.
UACAGAGGUCUCAAGCGUUGUUCGGAUUCAUUGGGCGUAAAGGGUGUGUAGGUGGCGCGCUAAGUCGGGUGUGAAAUUUCGGAGCUUAACUCCGAAACUGCAUUCGAUACUGGCGUGCUUGAGGACUGGAGAGGAGACUGGAAUUCAUGGUGUAGCAGUGAAAUGCGUAGAUAUCGUAAGGAAGACCAGUGGCGAAGGCGGUUCUCUGGGACGGUACUGACGCUGAGACGCGAAAGCGUGGGGAGCGAACAGG